AACGAACGCUGGCGGCGUGCCUAACACAUGCAAGUCGAGCGCGAAAAGGGCAACCUGAGUAGAGCGGCGCACGGGUGCGUAACACGUGGGUAAUCUGCCUCAAAGUUUGGGAUAACCUUCCGAAAGGUUGGCUAAUACCGGAUAAGCUCACGAGGUCUUCGGACUUUGUGGGAAAAGGUGGCCUCUGUCUACAAGCCAUCACUUUGAGAUGAGCCCGCGGCCCAUCAGCUAGUUGGCGGGGUAAAAGCCCACCAAGGCUACGACGGGUAGCUGGUCUGAGAGGACGAUCAGCCACACUGGAACUGAGACACGGUCCAGACUCCUACGGGAGGCAGCAGUGGGGAAUUUUUGCACAAUGGGCGAAAGCCUGAUGCAGCAACGCCGCGUGUGUGAUGAAGGCCUUCGGGUUGUAAACCUCUUUCAGCAGGGAAGAUAAUGACGGUACCUGACUAAGAAGCUCCGGCUAAAAUACGUGCCAGCAGCAGCCGC
This 489-nucleotide ribosomal RNA is filed under the name uncultured bacterium. Its description in RNAcentral is "bacterial SSU rRNA". It matches the Rfam family "Bacterial small subunit ribosomal RNA", at positions 29 to 521 of the family's 1533-position model. The record is from RNAcentral.